GACGAACGCUGGCGGCGUGCUUAACACAUGCAAGUCGAACGGAAAGGCCCUGCUUUUGUGGGGUGCUCGAGUGGCGAACGGGUGAGUAACACGUGAGUAACCUGCCCUUGACUUUGGGAUAACUUCAGGAAACUGGGGCUAAUACCGGAUAGGAGCUCCUGCUGCAUGGUGGGGGUUGGAAAGUUUCGGCGGUUGGGGAUGGACUCGCGGCUUAUCAGCUUGUUGGUGGGGUAGUGGCUUACCAAGGCUUUGACGGGUAGCCGGCCUGAGAGGGUUGACGGCCACAUUGGGACUGAGAUACGGACCAGAAUCCUACGGGAGGCAGCAGUGGGGAAUAUUGCACAAUGGGCGGAAGCCUGAUGCAGCAACGCCGCGUGCGGGAUGACGGCCUUCGGGUUGUAAACCGCUUUCGCAUGUGACGAAGCGUGAGUGACGGUAAUGGGUAAAGAAGCACCGGCUAACUACGUG
Molecule: ribosomal RNA, 468 nt
Filed under: uncultured bacterium
Lineage: Bacteria
Description: partial 16S ribosomal RNA
Rfam family: Bacterial small subunit ribosomal RNA
Source: RNAcentral